AGCAUGCUAUGCAAGCAUCGCUGUGUUUCACGUCUCCCACGGCAUAGAAACGGUGGAGGACCCCUAGUCGGACUUGAUCCAGGGAGCAUCCCAGGAUUCCAGUUUUCUCUGUAUCUUUCCGUGGUGUGACAGUUGUGCCUCCCCGGCUGAUCUUCUCCGGAUACUCACGUUCUGUGUCUAUAGCUCACACAUCCACACACACACAGGUCACAGGAUGCCUGGGAUAUGGACGCUGCCCUCUGUCCCCUGCAAACCGCAGAGCACCGUGAGCCCUGCACCCUGCUUCUGUGUGAGAGGAGCUGCAGCUGGAGGAGCGCCAGCUGAGAAAAAGACUUUAUGCACCUUUUGAAGUCGAGCUAAGCACAGAAUUGAGCUGAGUGACAGCUGGAUGGGAAGCCACUUUUGGGCAGCAGGGAGCUGCAGCCUGGAAAUGGAGAACCUUCCAGAAGGUGGCAAGGCUGCCCUGGAGCAGGGCUGGGGGCAUCUCACUCAUGAAUCUCACACCCACAAGCAGAAAUCGGCCUGGCCAAGACCAUUUCCCAACCUCCCAUGAGGCAGGAGCCCAGGCCCAUCCAUGCUGUGACCUCACAGAGCCACUAAUACUCCGGGCCCCAGGGCAAGGGUUGGGGGCAGACAAACUCCACCUGGCUUUGUGGGCUGCCAGACCCCUGCACAGGGCGCACUCAGUCCCACCAGACGUCAGACCCCUGCACACAGACUCUCCAGCAAUGUCUUUCCUAGGCCCAAAUGCUUGAUUUCACCCAGGCGGCCCUCAGCGGAGGCCGGGUUCCUGCUAAGGGCUUUGCCUUCUGGCUGCAGGGCUGCCUGGCGAGGGUGGUCUCCACCAAGCAGGUCCCUGCACCUCAGCAGCAGAUGCUGGCAUUUGGGGAUCUCGUUUCUGGGGAGCCAGUGGCAAUGUGCCUCUCCUGUCUCAGGGACACUGCGGCCUCUUCCUCUGAGGCCCCUCGGGCAGGUCACAUGCCCAGUGGGUGGGCUCAGCAAUGGCAAGCCUGUGUGCUCUGCCAGGGUGUCUGACAUCCAGGACAGGCUUUGGGAGAGGAACCUUUUGUUAGCAAAAGAUCACAGGGACGCUCACCUUUGCAGGGCACUGAGCAGACAAAGGUGGCCCUCGGCAUCCGGAUGUCUGUUUAAUUCAUGCCCCAGCAGGGACUGAGCCUUCUGAAAAAUGCACACUCACAGCUCCGAACUGCUGGCUGGAGAUCAUGGGAUGAGGAAACAGGGACUUUACUGAGAUUCCGGGCGGGCGUUUGCUAACCUCCCUGCUCUGCAACACUGGGAGGGCGGCUGGACCAGGACAUCUCUGGCCACACGGGAUUCUCCUGCUCUGCUGGCAGAGGUGGCCUCGUGUGCAUGUGAGGUCUCCGGCCACCUGCUCCGAGUGACUGAUGAAUAGCUGCGGGGUGUCCCAGGCCGCCCUGCCUCAGCUAAAGCGCUGCUGCUGGUCACAGUCCCCUCUGGCCUAGACUUACUUCCUUUCAUGCCUGGCUCUCCAGGGGACUCCCAUAUACCCUCCCUGGCUCAGGUCCAGGUCGGAGACCCUGGGGAAGUCUCCAAGGUCACCCUGCUUUCCCUUGUCCUUCAGAUCCGCCCCCACCUGCCUAUAGGCCCCAGGCAGUCUUCUCCUGUGGAGGCUACUGUGCUCUGUGCCACCCCUGCUCCCAUGUGCAGGCCCAGGAAAUAAUAUGCAGGCGGUGGGAUCAAGUGGAAGCCACCGCCCAUGUGUGGCAUGGAGGCCCACAUGCCCACUCCUCUGACGGGCAUGGAGGCCCCCAUGCUCACUCCUCUGACGGGCAUGGAGGCCCACAUGCCCACUCCUCUGACGGGCGUGGAGACCCACAUGCCCACUCCUCUGAUGGGCGUGGAGGCCCCCAUGCUCACUCCUCUGACGGGCAUGGAGGCCCACAUGCCCACUCCUCUGACGGGCGUGGAGGCCCACAUGCCCACUCCUCUGACGGGCGUGGAGGCCCACAUGCCCACUCCUCUGACGGGCGUGGAGACCCACAUGCCCACUCCUCUGAUGGGCGUGGAGGCCCCCAUGCUCACUCCUCUGAUGGGCAUGGAGGCCCACAUGCCCACUCCUCUGACGGGCGUGGAGACCCACAUGCCCACUCCUCUGAUGGGUGCUGCCGAAGGGCCCACUGAGAAGGGGCAGAGUCCCUGACCAGGGCCCAUUCCUUCACUGAGCAGAGAGGAAGCUGCUCCUGAGGCCUCAGGCUUCAAGGCAGCAGGCAGACCCACUACCCUGGACGGCUGCAGGGACACCAGGGCAGGGGGCAACAGGGGCCUCCAGGGCUGAAGCACAGAAGGCUUCAUG
Molecule: long non-coding RNA, 2335 nt
Organism: Callithrix jacchus (white-tufted-ear marmoset)
Lineage: Eukaryota; Metazoa; Chordata; Mammalia; Primates; Cebidae
Source: RefSeq, a predicted model, not a curated record